This 1344-nucleotide long non-coding RNA is filed under the name Sus scrofa (pig). Its description in RNAcentral is "lncRNA (ENSSSCG00015051679.1)". Lineage: Eukaryota; Metazoa; Chordata; Mammalia; Artiodactyla; Suidae. The record is from RNAcentral.
AGUGAGAGCUGGAAUCAACGUCUUAGAGCAGCUGGAGCGCCGUCCGGGUUCGGGGAACAGUGGCUGCUUAGUUCUGCUACCUUCACAAGAGGAGGAUUUGUCUCGGAAGAGUCGGGUCUCUGUCCUCCCAUCACUCUUUUAAAUUGGCUGAAAACAAAUACCGUGUAUUGAAGAAUUUCGAAGGCUGAGAACACACGUGAAGGGGGCAGAGCUUGUGGAAGGCUGUGAUGGGAUUUUGGGAGACAACUUUAGACCCACUCAGCCACUCAGCGACAGAGUCAUUAGAGCUGCAUUUCAAUAGCCAACGACAGUGGACCCGGUGUGUCUCCAUCCGGGAGGAAGACAAUGGUCCUCUAGUGCCCUUGGAUGAGAAACGGAGACUUUGACCUGCAGCUUCAGUUUAUCCUCAAAGCCUGCAUUGUUUGUCUUCAUCUAAUCCAACUUUGAUGGACAUCUGUGACAGCUGCCUGUACACAUGCUCUAAUGAAAUAUUAGAAAUGGCUGUACCUUCAAAAGAAACCCCGUAUUAUAUAUCCACAUCACCGCUGCUAGUCUUCAUAUUUUUGCACAUACUGUUUAUUGCUUAUGUGUAGAAGAAAUGAAACUAGUUUUCGGAGUUAUUAUUAAUAUGAAUAUAUAUCAUGUAUUAAUACUGAGACAGGAAAAAUACAUUGCCAGCCUUAGCAGUCCUUCAUUUCCUGUCUCCAACAGAAAAUUCACUCAUUCGGAGAAUAAUGCAAUUCUUGAUAAUAAAAUGCAAGUUCUGAUCAAGAACAGCAUACAGCUUCAAAAUGGAAUGUGAAGGAUUAGUAAAAAUCCUCUCCCAUGUUACUUUUCAGCCCUCACCAUGAUUAAUGUCCGGGUGAUUUGUUAUGAUUUGUGAGUUAAUGCGCAAACCUGAUAAUCACUUUAUAUAUUAAUUUCUUAGCUAAAGGGUUUAAUUGAAUCUAGGAUUCUAAUCAUAUUUAUUUGACGUAUUAGAAGCCGUGGUUUCUAGGACUUUGAGAAAGGUAUAAUAAAUAAAUAGAGUAAAAAAGUGGACACUUUAUUUUUAUUUUAUAGCUUUAUUUUCCACGAUAGAAGCAUAUAUUUAAUAGUACUCCAUAAUAAUUUAGUGUUGUACAUUUUGUAAGACUUUAAAGUAUUUUAUUCUAUAGGUUUCACUUCAAUGUAUUGAAUGUUUCUUUCUAAGGUGACUAGCAAUAUCCUUAUUUUAAUUUUAAGUGCUGCUGGCAAAUUAAGCAUAGGCUUAGAUGCCGUUAGAUGUGACCAAAUGAGAUAAUUUACAUAAAGCAGUAGAGUGCCUGGCAGAAAACAAGUACUUAAUAAAGAUUAUUUAUGGUU